UUUUUUUAUUAUCUUUCUUAAAAAAUUUGUUUUUGCAGGUGCUUUAUCUACUUUCGGCCCUUUUCUUCUGCUCCGUUUCAUACUGCAUGUGGAUAAUCUGUGUUCGUUCCUGGUUGGUUGAUAUCCUACAUUUAGCACAAUUUUCACGCUGAUCCAGGAAGCCGAAUAUAGCCAAAUACAAAUAUGAAUUUGUCUCUUUAUACAUAAUUUGAUCCCAAC
Long non-coding RNA from Morus notabilis, 219 nucleotides. RefSeq lists it as uncharacterized. The transcript has 3 exons. Lineage: Eukaryota; Viridiplantae; Streptophyta; Magnoliopsida; Rosales; Moraceae. The record is from RefSeq and is a predicted model, not a curated record.